GAGGUGAUAUGAACCGUUAUAACCGGCGAUUUCCGAAUGGGGAAACCCAGUGUGUUUCGACACACUAUCAUUAACUGAAUCCAUAGGUUAAUGAGGCGAACCGGGGGAACUGAAACAUCUAAGUACCCCGAGGAAAAGAAAUCAACCGAGAUUCCCCCAGUAGCGGCGAGCGAACGGGGAGGAGCCCAGAGCCUGAAUCAGUGUGUGUGUUAGUGGAAGCGUCUGGAAAGGCGCGCGAUACAGGGUGACAGCCCCGUACACAAAAAUGCACAUAUUGUGAGCUCGA
RNAcentral lists this ribosomal RNA (286 nucleotides) under Klebsiella pneumoniae subsp. pneumoniae. RNAcentral describes it as "partial 23S ribosomal RNA". It matches the Rfam family "Bacterial large subunit ribosomal RNA", at positions 83 to 409 of the family's 2925-position model. The record is from RNAcentral. Lineage: Bacteria; Pseudomonadati; Pseudomonadota; Gammaproteobacteria; Enterobacterales; Enterobacteriaceae.